Molecule: ribosomal RNA, 498 nt
Filed under: uncultured bacterium
Lineage: Bacteria
Description: partial 16S ribosomal RNA
Rfam family: Bacterial small subunit ribosomal RNA
Source: RNAcentral
GAUGAACGCUAGCUACAGGCUUAACACAUGCAAGUCGAGGGGUAGCAGGGUAGCAAUACCGCUGACGACCGGCGCACGGGUGAGUAACACGUAUCCAACCUUCCCAUAACUCGGGGAUAGCCUUUCGAAAGAAAGAUUAAUACCCGAUAGUACUUUUUCAAGGCAGCUUGAGAAAGUUAAAGAUUUGUUGGUUAUGGAUGGGGAUGCGUUCCAUUAGAUAGUUGGUGAGGUAACGGCUCGCCAAGUCUUCGAUGGAUAGGGGUUCUGAGAGGAAGGUCCCCCACAUUGGUACUGAGACACGGACCAAACUCCUACGGGAGGCAGCAGUGAGGAAUAUUGGUCAAUGGGCGAGAGCCUGAACCAGCCAAGUAGCGUGAAGGAUGAAGGUCCUAUGGAUUGUAAACUUCUUUUAUAGUAGAAUAAAGUGAUCCACGUGUGGAUUUUUGUAUGAAUACUAUGAAUAAGGAUCGGCUAACUCCGUGCCAGCAGCCGCAGUAA